Calypte anna (Anna's hummingbird) is the source of this 402-nucleotide long non-coding RNA. RefSeq lists it as uncharacterized. NCBI's taxonomy places the organism in Eukaryota, Metazoa, Chordata, Aves, Apodiformes, Trochilidae. The record is from RefSeq and is a predicted model, not a curated record. The transcript has 3 exons.
UCUGUCCCGCUUAAGAAUCAAAUCACUCCAAAAUCAGCAAAAAUAAGGACAAAUCCUUAAACAACUAAGGAUGGAGAAGCAUGGGAAAGUCAUGCACCCAACAGCUAUUUCAAUACCUCAUGGAAGUGAUUUCUAAUGCUGACUGUAGAACUCUUCUUUCUGAGACCAAAUAGAAAUCUCCUGCAGGAAGUGUGGAGAGCCAAUACAAAUGUGAAAACCACAACAUGAGCCAAGAGUGAGCACAAGCAGGACCAGCAGGUUGUGACUCUUCCCCUCCACUCUGCUCUUCUGAGAUCCACCUGGUAUCUCAGCUGUGUCCAGCUUUGGGACCCCCAACACGAGAAGGACAUGGAGCUGUUCAAGGAAGACCAGAGGGGGACACAAAGAUGAUCAGAGGGCUGG